This 659-nucleotide ribosomal RNA is filed under the name Microbacterium sp. Its description in RNAcentral is "bacterial SSU rRNA". It matches the Rfam family "Bacterial small subunit ribosomal RNA", at positions 90 to 763 of the family's 1533-position model. The record is from RNAcentral. Lineage: Bacteria; Bacillati; Actinomycetota; Actinomycetes; Micrococcales; Microbacteriaceae.
GAUCAGUGGCGAACGGGUGAGUAACACGUGAGCAACCUGCCCCUGACUCUGGGAUAAGCGCUGGAAACGGCGUCUAAUACUGGAUAUGUGACGUGACCGCAUGGUCUGCGUCUGGAAAGAAUUUCGGUUGGGGAUGGGCUCGCGGCCUAUCAGCUUGUUGGUGAGGUAAUGGCUCACCAAGGCGUCGACGGGUAGCCGGCCUGAGAGGGUGACCGGCCACACUGGGACUGAGACACGGCCCAGACUCCUACGGGAGGCAGCAGUGGGGAAUAUUGCACAAUGGGCGCAAGCCUGAUGCAGCAACGCCGCGUGAGGGACGACGGCCUUCGGGUUGUAAACCUCUUUUAGCAGGGAAGAAGCGAAAGUGACGGUACCUGCAGAAAAAGCGCCGGCUAACUACGUGCCAGCAGCCGCGGUAAUACGUAGGGCGCAAGCGUUAUCCGGAAUUAUUGGGCGUAAAGAGCUCGUAGGCGGUUUGUCGCGUCUGCUGUGAAAUCCGGAGGCUCAACCUCCGGCCUGCAGUGGGUACGGGCAGACUAGAGUGCGGUAGGGGAGAUUGGAAUUCCUGGUGUAGCGGUGGAAUGCGCAGAUAUCAGGAGGAACACCGAUGGCGAAGGCAGAUCUCUGGGCCGUAACUGACGCUGAGGAGCGAAAGGGUG